This 443-nucleotide ribosomal RNA is filed under the name uncultured bacterium. RNAcentral describes it as "partial 16S ribosomal RNA". It matches the Rfam family "Bacterial small subunit ribosomal RNA", at positions 338 to 795 of the family's 1533-position model. The record is from RNAcentral.
CCUACGGGCGGCAGCAGUGGGGAAUAUUGGGCAAUGGAGGAAACUCUGACCCAGCAACGCCGCGUGAAUGAUGAAGGUCCUCGGAUUGUAAAGUUCUUUUCUAAGGGAAGAAGAAAGUGACGGUACCUUAGGAAUAAGCCUCGGCUAACUACGUGCCAGCAGCCGCGGUAAUACGUAGGAGGCGAGCGUUAUCCGGAAUGACUGGGCGUAAAGGGUGCGUAGGUGGUUUGGCAAGUUAGUAGCGUAACUCCAAGGCUCAACCUUGGAACUACUACUAAAACUGUUGGACUUGAGUGCAGGAGGGGCAACCGGAAUUCGUAGUGUAGCGGUGGAAUGCGUAGAUAUUAGGAGGAACACCAGUGGCGAAGGCAGGUUGCUGGACUGUAACUGACACUGAGGCACGAAAGCGUGGGGAGCAAACAGGAUUAGAUACCCUUGUAGUC